CACUCUGUCCCAUACAGAGGUAACAGUGGAAACAACCUGUCAUAUACACUGCCAUGUCAUCUGUGGUUGCUGAUCAUGGAUUAAAUAGACCAUUUACAUGUCCUGUGUUUUCAGGUGGAGGAUGAUGAGACAGUCUCUGUCUGUUCAGAGAGAGCUUUGGCGGAAGAAGGAAAUCUUCCUCCCCCUGAGCCUAUGGCCUCCACAUCUAGGCCAAGGGGAUCACAAGUGGUUGGAGCAGACAAUGUGAGAG
Molecule: long non-coding RNA, 250 nt
Organism: Cololabis saira (Pacific saury)
Lineage: Eukaryota; Metazoa; Chordata; Actinopteri; Beloniformes; Belonidae
Exons: 3
Source: RefSeq, a predicted model, not a curated record